Molecule: ribosomal RNA, 1317 nt
Filed under: uncultured prokaryote
Description: partial 16S ribosomal RNA
Rfam family: Bacterial small subunit ribosomal RNA
Source: RNAcentral
GGCAUGCAAGUCGAACGAGGGCCCUCUUCGGAGGUGUCCUUAGUGGCGCACGGGUGAGUAACGCGUGGGAAUCUACCUUAGAGUGGGGAAUAACGUCUGGAAACGGACGCUAAUACCGCAUAAUCCCUUAGGAGGAAAGAUUGGCCGCUUUUGGACGGCCCCGCGUCUGAUUAGCUAGUUGGUGAGGUAAUGGCUCACCAAGGCGACGAUCAGUAGCUGGUCUGAGAGGAUGAUCAGCCACACUGGAACUGAGACACGGUCCAGACUCCUACGGGAGGCAGCAGUGGGGAAUAUUGGACAAUGGGCGCAAGCCUGAUCCAGCCAUGCCGCGUGAGUGAAGAAGGCCCUAGGGUUGUAAAGCUCUUUCAACGGUGAAGAUGAUGACGGUAGCCGUAGAAGAAGCCCCGGCUAACUCCGUGCCAGCAGCCGCGGUAAUACGGAGGGGGCAAGCGUUGUUCGGAAUUACUGGGCGUAAAGAGCAUGUAGGCGGCGUCGUAAGUUAGAGGUGAAAGGCCUGGGCUCAACCCAGGAACUGCCUUUAUUACUGCGGAAUCUAGAGUUCGAGAGAGGGUGGUGGAACUGCCAGUGUAGAGGUGAAAUUCGUAGAUAUUGGCAAGAACACCAGUGGCGAAGUCGGCCACCUGGCUCGAUACUGACGCUGAGGCGCGAAAGCGUGGGGAGCAAACAGGAUUAGAUACCCUGGUAGUCCACGCCGUAAACGAUGUGUGCUAGAUGUCGGGCAGCAUGCUGUUCGGUGUCGCAGCUAACGCGUUAAGCACACCGCCUGGGGAGUACGGUCGCAAGAUUAAAACUCAAAGGAAUUGGCGGGGGCCCGCACAAGCGGUGGAGCAUGUGGUUUAAUUUGAAGCAACGCGCAGAACCUUACCAGCCCUUGACAUGGGUAUCGCGGAUUUGGGAGACCAUUUCCUUCAGUUCGGCUGGAUACCACACAGGUGCUGCAUGGCUGUCGUCAGCUCGUGUCGUGAGAUGUUGGGUUAAGUCCCGCAACGAGCGCAACCCUCACCCUUAGUUGCCAUCAUUCAGUUGGGCACUCUAAGGGAACUGCCGGUGACAAGCCGGAGGAAGGUGGGGAUGACGUCAAGUCCUCAUGGCCCUUACGGGCUGGGCUACACACGUGCUAUAAUGGCGGUGGACAGUGGGCCGCGACCCUGCGAGGGGAAGCGAAUCUCUAAAAGCCGUCUCAGUUCGGAUUGUUCUCUGCAACUCGAGAGCAUGAAGUUGGAAUCGCUAGUAAUCGUGGAUCAGCAUGCCACGGUGAAUACGUUCCCGGGCCUUGUACACACCGCCCGUCAAUGU